CAGCUUACAAUCAGAUUCCUAUGGACUAACAGCAUUUGAAACAUCAUCGGGUGUAUAUCAAUUCACUAGAAUGUGUUUUAGUUUGAAGACGGCUCCUUUAGCAUUUCAGCGUAUUAUGCACAUGCUGUUUUCUGGUUUGCCCAUGUCUUUUAUACUUGUGUAUUUAGAUGAUAUUCUUGUUCAUAGUGCUACUCCAGAACUUAUGCUGGAAUAUCUUGAGGAAGUUUUGAAUCGUUUUGAAACAGCUGAAUUAACACAGAAAAGAUGUGUUAUCUUUUCAUAGAUAGUGUGUACUAUUUAGGUUUCAAAAUUUCUCAGGAUGGUGUACAACCUGGUGAUAAAGGUUUGAAAGCAGUUCGUGAAUUUCCAUUACCUAGGUCUUGGGAAGAGGUUCAUUAAUUUUUACGACUUUGCACAUUUUUUCAAAGAUUCAUUUUAAAUUGUUUCUGAUAUUGCCUUGCCAUUGAGUUGUAUUGUGGAGAAAAAGUUAUAUGAAUGGACUGAAAAACAAGAACAAGCAUUUGAAAAGUUCAAAUCUUCUAUUACAUCAAAACCAUUGCUAGUACAUCCUAAGUUUGAUGACGAUGCUCCGCCGUUUAUUGUACAAACUGAUGCAAGCAACACUGGUUUAGCUGGGGUACUUCUACAAGAAAAUAAUGGUUAUGAACAUCAAUUGCGUUUGCUUCAGAGAAACUUUCUAAAACGGAACGUAAUUAUUCAACCAUCCACCGUGAGGCGCUGGGAAUUAUUUGGUCGGUUCGGAAGUUUCCUGAAUUCUUGUAUGGCAGGAAAUUUGUUAUUCGAACAGAUCAUAAACCAUUGAUAUACAUUACAACUUAAAAUUCACCUAAGUGUGCUCGCUGGAGUUUGGAUUAUCAGAUUGAUUAUGUUAAGGGUUGUCACAACCGUAUUUUAUUGUAAAUAAGUUGUGGAGUUAUCGGGUGUGUAGAUAAUUUGAAUAUUAUAUUUAGCCUAUUUACUCGCAGUGGUCAUAUGGAACCUUUUCACACGUGCAGUCAAAUACCCUAGCACUUGCGAUGGUUUGGUGUGCAGUGGCAAAGCGUGAUUGUGGACUAGUCCAUUAUUUUUACACUUGGUUAAAAGUGCUGGUCAGAGCUGUUGUUAGGAGAACCUAGAACUGUGAUGCAAACGGUGCACGGGUGGUGAUGUGGGUGUGUGGACAUGUGUUAUGUUUGGAACUGUGGAUAGGUUUCCUGUGAACAGCUGGGGUCGGAUUUAUUGUUAGCUGGGUUGAUGAUGGUUACCAGCCGCUUUUUGCUUCACCGUUGCGAUUGAUGAUACAGAUGGCCUUAUAGAUGGUGAAAGAGUGACGGCGAGUCGAAGAUGGUUGCAAGAACAAAGCAACUUUGUAUUGAUGAUCUUGACCUGGACUUGCAAAUAGGCUACAAGUAGCAUGUGUUUGAAAGGGUUCUCUAUUCGGUGGACUGAUAAUUAACUGGUGCCUGGUGUUAUUAAAUAUGAACUGAUCAGUAUUACCAGUGCUGAACUGUUCUAUUUCCAGUGAACUGUUUAUAAAAAAUAACUUGAUUCAUAGGCUUAGUAAUUAUUGUAUUUUUUGAAAUUACAAAUGUAAAAUCA
Molecule: long non-coding RNA, 1599 nt
Organism: Gigantopelta aegis
Lineage: Eukaryota; Metazoa; Mollusca; Gastropoda; Neomphalida; Peltospiridae
Exons: 2
Source: RefSeq, a predicted model, not a curated record